GCAGGCUGCAAUUCGCCUUCAUGAAGCCGGAAUUGCUAGUAAUGGCAGGUCAGCAUACUGCCGUGAAUACGUUCCCGGGCCUUGUACACACCGCCCGUCACACCAUGAGAGUUGGGGAUACCCGAAGCCUGUGAGCUAACUUAUAGAGGCAGCAGUCGAAGGUAGAAUCAAUGAUUGGGGUGAAGUCGUAACAAGGUAAC
Molecule: ribosomal RNA, 200 nt
Filed under: uncultured bacterium
Lineage: Bacteria
Description: partial 16S ribosomal RNA
Rfam family: Bacterial small subunit ribosomal RNA
Source: RNAcentral